This is a non-coding RNA of Nicotiana sylvestris (wood tobacco), 96 nucleotides long. Lineage: Eukaryota; Viridiplantae; Streptophyta; Magnoliopsida; Solanales; Solanaceae. The record is from Rfam.
UAGGCAGAUUAUUGUAUUCGACUGUAUUCACGGCGUGAAACAGGGGAUUAUACUGUUUUUAAGUGGAAAGUGAAUCAAUUAACAUAAUAGACUCCU